GGGUUUAGCCGAGAGACCCAUCUCUGUGGGCAACUAAAGGAAGGUUUACCCAGGAUAAUAUAUGAAUAUCAUUUCUGCAUAGCAGCAGAUGCUUAUUAGGUUUAGAGAUCUUUUUCUUUGCUGUUAUUUCUAGGUAUAUAUUUACCACUUUACCCUUUUUAUUUUGGCUUUUAGUUUAGUCCCUGCCUCCAGUUGCUCUGUUUUUGGGAUUUACUGAACUUGUAUAUAUCUCUCUUCUUCUUCUUCUUCUUC
This 252-nucleotide unclassified non-coding RNA is filed under the name Hevea brasiliensis (rubber tree). Lineage: Eukaryota; Viridiplantae; Streptophyta; Magnoliopsida; Malpighiales; Euphorbiaceae. The record is from RNAcentral.